GACGAACGCUGGCGGCGUGCUUAACACAUGCAAGUCGAACGGAAAGGCCCUGCUUUUGUGGGGUGCUCGAGUGGCGAACGGGUGAGUAACACGUGAGUAACCUGCCCUUGACUGUGGGAUAACUUCAGGAAACUGGGGCUAAUACCGGAUAGGAGCUCCUGCUGCAGGGUGGGGGUUGGAAAGUUUCGGCGGUUGGGGAUGGACUCGCGGCUGAUCAGCUUGUUGGUGGGGUAGUGGAUUACCAAGGCUUUGACGGGUAGCCGGCCUGAGAGGGUGACAGGACACACUGGGAUGGGAAUACGGCACGGACUCGUACGGGACGCAGCAGUGGGGUAUAUUGCACAAUGGGCGGAACCCUGAUGCAGCAACGCCGCGUGCGGGAUGACGGGCUUCGGGUUGUAAACCGCUUUCGCCUGUGACGAAGCGUGAGUGACGGUAAUGGGUAAAGAAGCACCGGCUAACUACGUG
Molecule: ribosomal RNA, 468 nt
Filed under: uncultured bacterium
Lineage: Bacteria
Description: partial 16S ribosomal RNA
Rfam family: Bacterial small subunit ribosomal RNA
Source: RNAcentral